GACGUAGGGGGCAAGCGUUGUUCGGAAUUAUUGGGCGUAAAGCGCUCGUAGGCGGGACUGGAAGUCCGUGUUGAAAGACCUCGGCUCAACUGAGGGACCGGCUCGGAUACUCUAGUUCUUGAGGCAAUCAGAGGGUGAUGGAAUUCCCGGUGGAGCGGUGAAAUGCGUUGAUAUCGGGAGGAACUCCGGCGGCGAAGGCGGCGAUCUGGGUAGAUACUGACGCUGAGGUGCGAAAGCGUGGGGAGCAAACAGG
Molecule: ribosomal RNA, 253 nt
Filed under: uncultured bacterium
Lineage: Bacteria
Description: partial 16S ribosomal RNA
Rfam family: Bacterial small subunit ribosomal RNA
Source: RNAcentral